AACGGGAAGCAGACAACAGGGAUUGCCCUAGUAACGGCGAGUGAAGCGGCAACAGCUCAAAUUUGAAAUCUGGCCUCUUUGGGGUCCGAGUUGUAAUUUGCAGAGGGCGCUUUGGUGUUGGCAGCGGUCCAAGUUCCUUGGAACAGGACGUCACAGAGGGUGAGAAUCCCGUACGUGGUCGCUAGCCCUCACCGUGUAAAGCCCCUUCGACGAGUCGAGUUGUUUGGGAAUGCAGCUCUAAAUGGGAGGUAAAUUUCUUCUAAAGCUAAAUACUGGCCAGAGACCGAUAGCGCACAAGUAGAGUGAUCGAAAGAUGAAAAGCACUUUGGAAAGAGAGUUAAAAAGCACGUGAAAUUGUUGAAAGGGAAGCGCUUGCAGCCAGACUUGCCUGUAGUUGCUCAUCCGGGUUUUUACCCGGUGCACUCUUCUGCGGGCAGGCCAGCAUCAGUUUGGGCGGUUGGAUAAAGGUCUCUGUCAUGUACCUCUCUUCGGGGAGAACUUAUAGGGGAGACGACAUGCAACCAGCCUGGACUGAGGUCCGCGCAUCUGCUAGGAUGCUGGCGUAAUGGCUGUAAGCGGCCCGUCUUGAAACACGGACCAAGGAGUCUAACAUCUAUGCGAGUGUUUGGGUGUCAAGCCCGAGCGCGUAAUGAAAGUGAACGGAGGUGGGAACCUUUCGGGGUGCACCAUCGACCGAUCCUGAUGUCUUCGGAUGGAUUUGAGUAAGAGCAUAGCUGUUGGGACCCGAAAGAUGGUGAACUAUGCUUGAAUAGGGUGAAGCCAGAGGAAACUCUGGUGGAGGCUCGCAGCGGUUCUGACGUGCAAAUCGAUCGUCAAAUUUGGGCAUAGGGGCGAAAGACUAAUCGAACUAUCUAGUAGCUGGUUCCUGCCGAAGUUUCCCUCAGGAUAGCAGUAACGUUUUCAGUUUUAUGAGGUAAAGCGAAUGAUUAGAGGCCUGGGGGUUGAAACAA
RNAcentral lists this ribosomal RNA (971 nucleotides) under Neoscirrhia matteucciicola. RNAcentral's name for it is "eukaryotic LSU rRNA". It matches the Rfam family "Eukaryotic large subunit ribosomal RNA", at positions 53 to 1044 of the family's 3401-position model. The record is from RNAcentral. Lineage: Eukaryota; Fungi; Ascomycota; Dothideomycetes; Pleosporales.